Molecule: non-coding RNA, 10401 nt
Organism: Oryctolagus cuniculus (rabbit)
Lineage: Eukaryota; Metazoa; Chordata; Mammalia; Lagomorpha; Leporidae
Source: RefSeq, a predicted model, not a curated record
GUUCCGCAGCCCGGCUCGGCUACCAAUGCCCCGCCGGCUGCUGGGGAGGGGAUGAGAGCGGUUGGUCCCCCAGCACGGCCUCUGGGAAAGGGCCGGAUGUGCUCCCACUCCUCUAGCCAGUGGCUUGAACAUCCCUGUUCUGGUCCUGGACAUUCAAGGAUAACUGUGGCACGUUCAUAUAAUACAACACUCUACAACAAUGAAAAAGAAUGAACUGCUGCAUGAAACAAUAUGGAUGAAUCUGACAGAAAUAAAGCUGAGCAGAAGAGAGCCUUGGAGGUGCUAUGAAAGUCAAAGAUUGGCAGUUCUACCAAUGUGAUAACAUCAGUUCUGAAAAUAGCCAUGAGGCAAGGGGAAGAGAGAAGCAUGAUUAGGUUCAUUGUGGCAUCACCCUUUGUGGCAAUCUUCAUGAGAGGAAACAGCACCUAGUACUCCCUGUGGGUGGUUACUCCAAUGAAGCUGUGGUAUAUAUACUGAAAGAAUGUGGUGCACAUCAUACAGGCAUAGCAAAAAAAUAUGACUGUAAUCUCUCUUGGGGGAUGCCAUCAGUGACAGUGCCACAAAACAUGAAGAUCUAUGGAUCACCAUAAAGUUGUGGCUCUUAACUUGUGACCUUGACUGUAUAAACACUAUACCUUUCUGUCUGAAGUUCUGCAGAUGGAUUGGAGUAGAGUAUCUAGGCGUUUCAGCCAUGACCUUACAGAGAAGGAACGGUAUAAUACCUUUGUGCCCCUUCAGCUUCUUCCAGAGAGGAAGAAGGCAGAAUGGAAAUUAUUUAGGAAACUAACCAUUCUGCCUUAGUCUGCCCCAACUAGAUUACAUGCUGUUUGAGAACACAGGCUGUGCCUGUUUUCUAUACCCUGUUUUAUGUGUAGCGCAGUUCUUGGUACUUAGAAGGAAGUCAGUACCUAUAUACUAAUGAAUGAAGAAAUAAAAAUUAUAUAGUCAAUUCUACCACCAUAGAAUGUCAGAUUGUAGGAAAUGUGUUACCUAUACAGCAAACUUCUGUGUAAACACAAGGCCAACACUACACCUUCCUCAUUUCUUACUGAGUAGUGCCCAGUGAUUACUUGACUUUUUUGUGAGAGAGAAAAAUAUUGGUUGAAUGAAUGAGUGGAUGUCUCAGUGAGAGCUAGUUCUGUUUCCAAACACUUUUACAAGGAAUUUUCACUACACUGAUAAUGAAAAUGCUUAUUAAUGAACCCUCAUAUAAAUACCCCUGCUAACUGCCAAGAGAGAAAAAUAACCUCUCUCUCUUAUCACUGUGGGCUUAAGGCUUUCUUCUGUUACCACAGUCACCAAUAGGAAAACUGAAAAAAGUGAGAAAACAGAACUUUUUUGAGAUAUGAAAAGGCAUUUUUCUAAUAGUAGCUUAUGUUGUCAGCAGCUAAACUAUCUCACAAUUCAAGAUCAUUACAUAAAUUCCAGAAAGUGACUAUUUGUAAAGGAACCAUCAAACUUUGUCAGUAUGAUGAACAUUUGAGCAAAAUCUGUUAUUCUGCCUUUUCUUGAUCCCCAGCCCAUAUUUACUUUGUAUGUUCAUGGUUUUGUAGCAUGGGAAGCCAUUCAACCUGUGGCUUCCCUGAUUGUGAAAGUGUAUAGCUCUGUGACACUCUUCAGAAGACCAUGAAAGAGAGAGUACUUCAAAACGUUCAUGGAAAGUGGAAUUAAAAUAUUUUGGUGCAAAAAUUUUUUGAAAUGUAUGUAUAGUUUGUUUUAAUAAUAUGCAUUCUCAAUUAACUUUUUGAAAACCUCAUAUAUGUUCUGGUCCUUUACAUUUGUGUCUAGAAUGAAAAAUUACUCAUGGUUAUUUCCUUUCUCUAAUAAUAUGAAGCUAUUUAUAUAUCUACAUAUCACUAAAUAAUACUCAUUUUGAAGGCAGGACUUUGUUCUUUCCAUUUUUGAAUGCACAGAGCUUGGUAUGUAUUUGCUGAGUUAUUCGUUCUUCUGCUUACUUUGGAUUUAAUUUUCAUUUUCUAAGGUAGAAGCUUAGAUGAUUGAUUUUUAGAUAUUUCUUCUUAAUUCCAUUCAGGGGUAUAAAUUUCCCUCUAAACACUGCUUUCUAUGUAUCCUACAAAUUUUUGAUAACUUGUGUUUCAUUAUCGCUGUUUAAAAUUUAUCUUGAGAUUUGUUUUUUGACCCAUGUAUUUAGAAUUAUAUUGUUUAUACUCCACAUAGUUUGGAAUCUUCUAGUUAUUUGUGUUAUUAACUAAAGUAUUAAUUACAUUGUGGUAUUACAGCAGAUUUAUGAUAUCCAUUUAUUUUUUUAAAGAUUUAUUUAUUUGAAAGGCAGAGUUACAGAGAGGCAGAGGCAGAGAGAUAGAGAGAGGCCUUUCAUCCACUGGUUCUCUUCCCACAUGGCCACAAUGGCAGGAGCUGCGCUGAUCUGAAGCUAGAAGCCAGGAGCCAGGAGCUUCUUCCGGGUCUCCCACAUGGGUGCAGGGCCCCAAGGACUUGGGCCAUCUUCUCCUACUUUCCCAGGCCACAGCAGAGAGCUGGAUCAGAAGAGGAACAGCUGGGACUCAAACCAGCACCCAUAUGGGAUGCUGGCAUUACAGGCAGUAGUUUUACCCACUAUGCCACAGUGCCGGCCUCACAUAUAUAUUCAUGUAAAUUUGUUAAGGUGUGUUUUAUGGUUCAAAAUGUGGUCUAUCUUGGUGAAUGUUCCGUGAGAGCUUCAGAAGAGUGUUGUGUUCUGUGGCUGUUGGGUGAAAUAAUCUAUGUCAAUUAUAUGCAGUUGAUUGGUGGUGAUACUGAGUUAAACUAUGUCCUUACUGAUUCUCUGCCUGAAUAAUAUAUAACAGUGAAUGGAUAUAUGUCUCCAUAUAAUUCCAUUAGUUUUUCCCUCACAUAUAUUUUUUAAUUUAUUUAUUAGAGAGAGAGAGAGAGAGAGAGAGAGAAAGAAUGUUCCCAUUCACUGGUUCACUUCCCAAAUGCUGACAAUAGCUGGAGCUAGCCAGACUAAAGCCCAGAGCUGGUAACUCAAUCCAGGUCUUCCAUGUGGGUGGCAGGGACCAAUUGUUUGAGCCAUCAUCUGCUUCCUCCUGGGGUGCACAUUAUCAAGAAGCUGGAAUCAGGAGCACAGGCAAGACCUGAAUCUAGACACUUCAAUAUGGGAUGUGGACACCCUAACUGGUAUCUUAAUGACCAGUUCAAAUGCCCACCCAUUUGCUUCACAUAUUUUGUUGAUCUGUUUUUAUGUGCAUUCCUGUUGUAGCUUGUGUCUUCUUAGAUAAUUGAUUACCCUUUUAUCAUUAUGCAGUACCCUUCUCUAUCACUGAUAAAUUUCCAUGCUUUUUUAAGAUCUGUUCCAUCUAAAAUUAAUAAACCUAUUCCUACUUUGUACUGAUUAGUUUUAGCAUGUUUUCUCAUUCCUUCUAAACUGUAUGUUAUUUAUGUUUAAAGUAGUUUCUUAUAGACAUUAGAUACUUGGGUCUUGUUUUUGAUCCCCUCUGAAGGCCUAUUCUUUAAUUGGUGCAUUAAAAUUACUGAAUCAACGGUGUUAUUGAUAUUGUUAGAUGAAGAUCAACCACACUUGCUACUAUUUUCUUUGUUGUCCUUUUCUUUGUUCCUAUUUUUGUCUUAUCCUCUCUUUAUGCCUUUUGUUGUUUUAAUUGAAUAUUUUAUGAACAUUUUAUCAUUUCAUUUUUUUUCUUUCUUAGCAUGUCUAAAUUAUCUUUCUUUGUUGGUGUAACCUAGAGUUGCAAUACUGAUUUAGAACUAAUCAAAGCCCACUCUAAAAUAAAACAAUACUACUUUAUGGGUAGUGUGAAUACCUUGUAUUAUCAAAAUUAUCAUAAUUGCUCCAUCCCAACACUUGUAUUACUACUGUUAUCCUUUCACUUAUAUAACAGUAUACAUAAGCAUAUAUAUGCUUAUAAAAAUCAUGGAGAAUGUAUAUUAUGAAGAAAUGAUGCAUGAAUGUCACAUUUUUUACACCAAAAUCAACUUAUCUUUUAAUUCCACUUUCCAAAACUUUUUGAAGUAUCUUUAUGUAUGUUAUAUAAAAGCAUUCAUAAUCAAGUAUAUUUUUGUCAGGAUUAUUUUGCAAAACCAGAACUUGUACAGUGUGGCCCACAAGUUCAAGAGGGUUCACACGUAACAUUCAUUAAUUCCAAAGAAAACCGCCCAGAAGUCUUGUUGGGAGACAUUUACCUUGACGUACUGGAGGGACCAAUGGUGACUACUUGGUCUUACCUUCCACACUGCCCAGCCACAGCACACAAUAGCACAUAGUACAUGAAUAAACAAGCACAAUUGGCUUGUGGUCAAAACUGUUGGGCACAUUCCCUGGUGCUCUACAGGUCACAGCUCUAUCAGGCUUGCAUUGGUGGAAGGGCAGCAUAGUAAGCCUUCUCUGUAGCUGACCUGUCAUACACCAAAUAAGAAUAAGGAAAAUAAAGGUUUUUAAAGUUGAAAAAAUAUCACAAAAGAUUCUUGUGUAGCCUUCAUCCAAAUUCCCCAAAUGUCAAUAUUUUCUCAUACUUGUUUUAUUUCCCCCUCUACUGCAUAUGCAUAAGACAUUUUCUUCUAAAAUAUUUAAAAUUGCAGAUAUGAUGGCCCUUAACUUAUACAUACUCAAGAGUGUGUUUCUUUUAAGAACAUAUUCUAGGGUGGGUAUAUGGCUUAGCAGGUCAAGUCACUGUUUAGGAUAUCUGUGUUCAAUAUCAGAGUGUUCCAGUUUCCUAAUGCAGACCCUAGGAGGCAGGAGGUGACACCUCAAUGUUGGGGAUCCUGCCAUGCAUGUGGAAGAUACAGACUGAGUUGCUGGCUCCUGACUUCAGCCUGGCUCAGCCCAGGCCAUUGUGGCCAUUAGUGAAUGAACCAGAAGAUGGUUGCACUUUCUGGCUGGCUAUUCAGCUGUUUUUCUCUCUGACUUUCAAAUAAUAAUAACACUAAAAAAAACUUCAAAGAGGGCAUCUUUCAUCAUUAACAUAGUAGUAUAAUGCAUUAAUAUCAGAAAAUAGUAUUAAUAAAAUGCUAUAAUUUAGAAGUAUAAUUCAAAUUUUCCAGUUGUCCUACUUUUUUUUGUAUUGGUUGUUCAAGAUCCAACCCAAGAUCAUGUUGUAUUUGUCAUUAAUUUCUUUAAAAUAGAGCUAUAAUUAUGGCAUUCCCCUGUUCAGAUAUAGUCAGUGUCUUGUAUUUCCCAUUGAACUAAAUAAAAAAAAUCUCCUUCCAAAUAUUUAACUGCACUAUGAUGCUUCCUUGAUUUACUUCCUUUCUUCAUGUAGAAUUGAAUUUAUGACCUAUAUUAUUUUCUUGAAUCACAACUAUAUUAACAGCAAAGUCCCUCAAAUCUUGUUUCUCUUAGAAAGUACUUCUUCAUUUUUUAAAGACUCAUUUAUUUGAAAGGCAGAGUGACAGAGAAAGAGGGGUGAGAAACAGAGAUGUUGUUUAUCUGUUCGUUCACUUCCCAAGUGCCCAACAACAGCUAGGGCUGAGUCAGACCUGAGCCAGGAACUCCAUUUGAGCCUCCCACAUGGGUGACAGAGAAAAAAGUAGUUGGGCCAUAUUCUUCUUCCUUCCCAGGUGCAUUAGCGAUAGACGCAUGGAGCAGCCAGCACUGGAUCCAGCACUCCUAUAUGGGACACAGGUGUCCCAAGCAGUGGGUUAACCUGCUGCACCACAACACCCACGCUUUCCUCUUCAUUUUUGAAGGAUGCUUUUUCAAGGUCCUGAAUGCUCUGUUGGGAAUUUUCUCUGUCAAUGCUCUAAGUGUUUUACCCUACUCCUCUUACAAUGAUGUUUCUGAGAAGUCAGAUGUAAUGCUUAGUUUUCCUCCUUUAUAGGUAAGGAGUUUUUCCUCCGGUUUCUUUCAGGGUUUUUCUUUACCUUCGAUUUUCUGUGUUUGAAAAUGAUAUUUGUAGGUGUAGGCUUUUGGUAUUUAUCCUGCUGGGUGUUCUCUACAAUUCCUGGAUCUGUAUUUUGGUGUCUGACAUAUAUUUGGGAUAAUUCUUAGUUACUGUUGUUUAAAAUACUCCUUUUUAUUCAGUCCAUGUCCCAGUUCAUUUGGGCUGCUGUAAGGGAACACCAUGGAUUGGGUGAAUUAUAAACAGCAAAAAAAAUUUUUCCUAACAGUUGUGGAAGCUGGUAAACACAGGAAUCAAGAAACUGGCAUACUUGGUAUCUGGUUUGGCCCUGCUCCCUAGUUCAUAGACAGCUGUCUUCACUGUGUCCUCACAUGGCAUCAGGGGUCACGGAGUUCUCUGGGGUCUCUUUCAUGAGGGCACCAAGCUCACUUGAGAGUGUUUUACCCUCACACCCUAGUCACCUCCCCUGUGUCCCCCCUGCAAACACCCUUUCAUUGCCAAUUAAGAUUCAACAUAUCAAUUUGGGAUGGACACAAUUAUUCCACUACUGACACCUGAAAAUUCAUGUCUUUAUUACAUGUAAAUUGCAAUCAUUCCAUCCAAAUAGCUUCCAAAGUCUCAGCUACUUUCCAUUAACUUAAAAGUCUAAUCCAAAAGUCAGUAUCACCUAAUUCCGAUCUGAGUGACAACUGAGAGUUUGUUGAAAUUGUAAAAAUUUUUUAUAGUUGUUUUAGUUCUAAAAUUUAACAACUUUUAAAAACAUGUUGGCUGGCGCCGCAGCUCACUAGGCUAAUCCUCCGCCUUGUGGCGCUGGCACACCGGGUUCUAGUCCCCGUCGGGGUACCGGAUUCUGUCCCAGUUGCCCCUCUUCCAGGCCAGCUCUCUGCUGUGGCCAGGGAGUGCAGUGGAGGAUGGCCCAAGUGCUUGGGCCCUGCACCCCAUGGGAGACCAGGAUAAGUACCUGGCUCCUGCCAUCGGAUCAGCGCGAUGCGCUGGCCGCAGCGCACCGGCCGCGGAGGCCAUUGGAGGGUGAACCAACGGCAAAGGAAGACCUUUCUCUCUGUCUCUCUCUCUCACUGUCCACUCUGCCUGUCAAAAAAUUAAAAAUAAAUAAAUAAAAAUAAAAUAAAAACAUGUUGCCACAUUCACAUCAAACGUAGACAUUAGAUAUAUACAUAUAUGCACUAUUUUUUUUCUUUAAAAAAGUUACUAAUAUUUAUUACAAAGCAAGAAAUUCAUGAGGCAGAGUUCAUCUUCAGGCAAAUUACUCUCCAUGUAUGAACCUGUAAGACCAAUCAUUUUGGGGCCCGUGCUGUGGUAUAUCUAAUAAAGCUGCCACCUACAGUGCCUGCAUCCUAUAUGGAUGCCAAUUCAAGUCCCAGCUACUCCACUUCUUAUCCAGCUCCCUGCUAGUGCACCUGGGAAAGCAGAAGAAAUGCAAAAUAUUUGGGCCCCUGCACCCACAUGGGAGACCUAGAAGAAGCUCUUGGUUCUUGGCUUCAAAUUGGCUUAGCUCCAGUCAUAGUGGCCAUUUUAGGAGUGAACCAGUGAAUGGAAGAUAUCUCUGUCUCCCUGUCUCUCCCUCUUUCUCUGUAACUCUGCCUUUCAAAUAAAAUAAAUAAAUCUUUAAAAAAGAAAGACCAAUCAUUUUAUGUGCUUCUAAAACACAAUGGUGGGACAGGCAUAGGGUGGGCAAUUCCAUUCAAAAAGGGACAUAUAGGACAGAAGAAAGAAGUGGCAGGCCUUAGUUAAAUACUAAACCUAAUAGGAUAAACAGUAUUAAACAUUAAAGCUCAGGAAUAAUCCUUUUGGCUUAAUGGUCAACCUUCCAGGUCCACUACUGUUGAAGCCCCAAAUCCAGACCUCUUGUGGGUUGAAGUUGCAUGCUGUGACUCUCCCAGGCAGUGAUUCCACCUCCAGUGUUCUCCUGAACUGGAUUUCCAUGCCUGCAACCCCUCUGGGCUAGAAUCAUGUACCAGUGGCUCAGCUGGUUUGGGGUCCCACAUGUGUGGCAGGAACUCAGUUACAUGAGCUAGCAUGACUGACUCCCAGAAUCUGCAUUUGCAGGAAGCUGGAGUCAAGAUCUGGACAGGAAAUUGAACCUGAUCACUCAAUAUGGGAUGCAGGCAUGUUAACAGUAGGCUAAAUGCCCACCCCAUGCCCAUUUGUUCUGUCCUUAGCAUCUUAAUCAUAAUUGCUUUAAAUUUCUUGUCUGAUAAUUCCAACAUCUGUACCAAUUGCUAUAAAAAGUAAAAUAAGGGAAAAGAAAGAAAGAAAAAAAUGAAGGCUGUUGAUGAUGUGUUAGUUGUAGGGAGAGGGUAAGUAUUCUAAAGUCUUGUGAUUAGGCCUGGGUCUUUUUCUGUAAGACUAUUAUGCUGGACUGUGAAUGCCACAAGUGUUUUGCAGUCCCUCCCUUCCCAGGUGGGAUAGGAUAGCUGCAAUGGGCUAGGGUUGGAUAUUUCCCUUCUCUCAUGUCAGUUAGGCUCUAAUGGAAUCCCAGCAGGUUAUGCCAGUAAACAACUUCCCCUGAGAGCAGAUCUUAAAAAUAACAGAGUGCUCCAGUGGCUAUGAAAAUGAUUUAUUUCUCCUUCUUAUGCCAGUAAUAUGAGAGGAUUUUUCUCCAAUAUUUGCUCUUUACCUAGUCAAGAUUCUGAUACUGAAAAUCACAAAAGUGAGGGGUUCCCUUACAACCAGGUCCACCCAAGUUUUACCGCUCAGGUUGUCCACACUUGACCUCCAGCGAUUCAUCAGCUAGAGUUUAGGUAUUCCUACCACAACAUUGAUCUCAUAGGGGUUCCCACCUGAUACAUUGCAAUUCUCUGCAUCUGCCUUCUGUCCCUGUGUUCCACUUUGGGGACAGUGUUUUGCUCUGUGACCACCUCUAUUAUUUACCCAUGAAAAGUUUAUUGAUUUCUUCAAUUUGUUCAGAUUUUUUAUUUAUUAGGAUAGAGUGGUGACUUCCAAGUUCCUUAUAUGUGAAGAGGAAACUAGAAGUCUUUAAUUUGCAAAAUCAAGAAGACAAUGAUGGGCUGGCAUUUUGGCACAGGGUGUUAAGCUCUCACCUGUGACCAUUGGCAUCCCAUAUAAGCAUAGGUUCAAGACCUUGCUGAUCUACUUCUGAAACAAGCUCCCUGCUAAUUUGCCUGGGAAAGCAGCAGAAGACAGCCCGAGUUCUUGGGUUCCUGUGACUUGUGUGGGAGACCCUGAUAGAGUUCUAAGCUCCUAGAUUCAGCCUGGUCCAUCCUCAGCCCUUGUGGCCAUUUGGGAAACGAGCCAGUAGAUGCAAGAUUCUCUCUCUCUCUCUCUCUCUCUCUCUCACUCUCUGUCUCCCUCUCUCUUUUUCUCUCUCCCCCCUUCCCUCCCUCUCUCUCUCUCCCCUUCUCUCUGAUUCCACCUUUCAAAUAGAUAAAUACAUCAUUAAAAAAAAAAAGACAGCAAUAGCGAAGAGACACAUAAGAAGACACUCAGGAUCACUAGCCAUCAGGGAAAUGAAAAUAAAAAUCAAAACAAGGAAUCAGCUCACCCCAGUUAGAAUGACUAUCAUCCAAAAACCAAAAAAUAACAAAUAUUGGUGAGGAUAUGAGGAAAAAGGUACCCCACUGUUGGCAGGAAUGUAAACUAGUGCAACCACUAUGGAAGGCAGUUUGGAGAUUCCUCAGAAAUCUAAAAAUAGACCUACCAUAUGACCCAGCCAUUCCACUCCUGGGAAUUUACCCAAAGGAAAUGAAAUAAGAAUAUGAAAGAGUUUUUGUUUAUAGCAGCUCAAUUCACAAUCAAAUCAAAUGUCUAUUGACUGAUGACUGCAUAAAGAAAUUGUGGAAUAUAUACAUGAUGGAAUACUAUUCAUAAAUAAGAAUGAAAUCCUAUCUUUUAUAACAAAAUGGAUGCAAUUGGAGACUAUUAUGCUUAAUGAAAUAAGCCAGUCUCAAAAAGACAAAUAUGUUUUCCUUGAUUUGUGGUAACUAACAUACAGAGUAUGAGAAAUGAAAUGUAUGUGAAUGAAACUGACAUUUUGAGGUUUUUUAUAGUUUAUAGCCUUUGUCUAUACUCCUGAGGAACAGUGGUUUUUCUACUUACUUUAAAAAAAAAAGAGUGGGGGAUUUGACAUAGUUGGUUUUAAUCAAUGCUUUAAUGGAAUCAUAGAUGUGGCACAUAGCUUGACUAUGUGUAGACAUACAGUCCGUGGAAUAAUUGCUAAAAAUCUUUUGUUGUAUCUAAACCAUCCUUGCAUUUGCUUUAGCAUAAAUAGAUGCAAUUAUGGUUUGUCAUUGGCAAAAAAAAAAAAAGACAGUGAUAAGCAUUCACAAAGCAGCUUUAUUUUGCUUUUUUGACAUAGUUCACAACCUUUUCUUUUUCUACCCAUUCAAAAAGAAAAUAUUUCCAACUUUAAAAUAAUUAAAUGACCAAUGCCAGAAACCAGUAGUUACUUCCAGGGCUUGGUCCUUGCAUGGCAGGGCCUCAGAUGUAUGGCCACUGGCAGAGGACUCGACGUUUUGAGCGUGCAGCCAGGCAUGGCCAAUAGCAACCAAUGUGGGAGUGUAGGAGAGCGAGGUGUGCUCCUGGUCUGCCUUGUCCUCCGACCCUUUCCCUG